RNAcentral lists this ribosomal RNA (490 nucleotides) under uncultured bacterium. RNAcentral describes it as "partial 16S ribosomal RNA". It matches the Rfam family "Bacterial small subunit ribosomal RNA", at positions 30 to 507 of the family's 1533-position model. The record is from RNAcentral.
AUUGAACGCUGGCGGCAGGCCUAACACAUGCAAGUCGAACGGUAACAGGAAGCAGCUUGCUGCUUCGCUGACGGGUGGCGGACGGGUGAGUAAUGUCUGGGAAACUGCCUGAUGGAGGGGGAUAACUACUGGAAACGGUAGCUAAUACCGCAUAACGUCGCAAGACCAAAGAGGGGGACCUUAGGGCCUCUUGCCAUCGGAUGUGCCCAGAUGGGAUUAGCUAGUAGGUGGGGUAACGGCUCACCUAGGCGACGAUCCCUAGCUGGUCUGAGAAGAUGACCAGCCACACUGGAACUGAGACACGGUCCAGACUCCUACGGGAGGCAGCAGUGGGGAAUAUUGCACAAUGGGCGCAAGCCUGAUGCAGCCAUGCCGCGUGUAUGAAGAAGGCCUUCGGGUUGUAAAGUACUUUCAGCGGGGAGGAAGGGAGUAAAGUUAAUACCUUUGCUCAUUGACGUUACCCGCAGAAGAAGCACCGGCUAACUCCGUG